CCUACGGGAGGCAGCAGUGGGGAAUAUUGGACAAUGGGGGAAACCCUGAUGCAGCAACGCCGCGUGAAGGAAGACGGUUUUCGGAUUGUAAACCUCUGUUCUUAGUGAAGAAUAAUGACGGUAGCUAAGGAGCAAGCCACGCCUAACUACGUGCCAGCAGCCGCGGUAAUACGCAGGUGGCAAGCGUUGUCCGGAAUUACUGGGUUUAAAGGGAGCGCAGGCGGGAAGCCAAGUCAGCUGUGAAAACUACGGGCUUAACUUGUAGACUGCAGUUGAAACUGGUUUUCGUGAGUGAAGUAGAGGUUGGCGGAAUUCGGGGUGUAGCGGUGAAAUGCGUAGAUAUUCGGAGGAACACCGGUGGCGAAGGCGGCCAACUGGGCUUUAACUGACGCUGAGGCUCGAAAGUGUGGGGAGCAAACAGGAUUAGAUACCCGGGUAGUC
RNAcentral lists this ribosomal RNA (441 nucleotides) under uncultured bacterium. RNAcentral describes it as "partial 16S ribosomal RNA". It matches the Rfam family "Bacterial small subunit ribosomal RNA", at positions 338 to 795 of the family's 1533-position model. The record is from RNAcentral.